Molecule: ribosomal RNA, 191 nt
Filed under: uncultured bacterium
Lineage: Bacteria
Description: partial 16S ribosomal RNA
Rfam family: Bacterial small subunit ribosomal RNA
Source: RNAcentral
CUCGACUGCAUGAAGCCGGAAUCGCUAGUAAUCGCGGAUCAGAAUGCCGCGGUGAAUACGUUCCCGGGUCUUGUACACACCGCCCGUCACACCAUGGGAGUCGGAAAUGCCCGAAGCCGGUGGCCUAACCGAUAAGGGAGGAGCCGUCGAAGGCAGGUCCGAUGACUGGGGUGAAGUCGUAACAAGGUACC